UACGUAGGGUGCAAGCGUUGUCCGGAAUUAUUGGGCGUAAAGAGCUCGUAGGCGGUCUGUCGCGUCGGAUGUGAAAACCCAGGGCUCAACCCUGGGCCUGCAUUCGAUACGGGCAGACUAGAGUUCGGUAGGGGAGACUGGAAUUCCUGGUGUAGCGGUGAAAUGCGCAGAUAUCAGGAGGAACACCGGUGGCGAAGGCGGUUCUCUGGGCAUUACCUGACGCUGAGGAGCGAAAGCGUGGGGAGCAAACAGG
This 253-nucleotide ribosomal RNA is filed under the name uncultured bacterium. RNAcentral's name for it is "partial 16S ribosomal RNA". It matches the Rfam family "Bacterial small subunit ribosomal RNA", at positions 524 to 776 of the family's 1533-position model. The record is from RNAcentral.